RNAcentral lists this ribosomal RNA (425 nucleotides) under uncultured bacterium. Its description in RNAcentral is "partial 16S ribosomal RNA". It matches the Rfam family "Bacterial small subunit ribosomal RNA", at positions 354 to 796 of the family's 1533-position model. The record is from RNAcentral.
GUGGGGAAUCUUGCGCAAUGGGCGAAAGCCUGACGCAGCCAUGCCGCGUGAAUGAUGAAGGUCUUAGGAUUGUAAAAUUCUUUCACCGGGGAAGAUAAUGACGGUACCCGGAGAAGAAGCUCCGGCUAACUUCGUGCCAGCAGCCGCGGUAAUACGAAGGGGGCUAGCGUUGCUCGGAAUUACUGGGCGUAAAGGGCGCGUAGGCGGACAGCUUAGUCAGAGGUGAAAGCCCAGGGCUCAACCUUGGAAUUGCCUUUGAUACUGGCUGUCUUGAGUUUGGGAGAGGUGAGUGGAACUCCGAGUGUAGAGGUGAAAUUCGUAGAUAUUCGGAAGAACACCAGUGGCGAAGGCGACUCACUGGCCCAAUACUGACGCUGAGGCGCGAAAGCGUGGGGAGCAAACAGGAUUAGAAACCCCGGUAGUCC